RNAcentral lists this unclassified non-coding RNA (328 nucleotides) under uncultured fungus. RNAcentral's name for it is "partial contains small subunit ribosomal RNA, internal transcribed spacer 1, and 5.8S ribosomal RNA". The stretch from base 1 to 73 matches the Rfam family "Eukaryotic small subunit ribosomal RNA", at positions 1759 to 1831 of the family's 1831-position model. Lineage: Eukaryota; Fungi. The record is from RNAcentral.
CCAAACUUGGUCAUUUAGAGGAAGUAAAAGUCGUAACAAGGUUUCCGUAGGUGAACCUGCGGAAGGAUCAUUAAUGAAAUCGGAGGGAGAGAUCCCUCCAGUGGGGUGUGCUGUAGCUGGCCUUUCGGGGCAUGUGCACGCACGCUUCGCAAAUCCACUCACACCUGUGCACUUCUGCGUGGGUCGGUCUGGUAUUCUAAACCUAGCCGGCUUCACGUCCUUUCACACACUCUUGUAUGUCAUAUGAAUGUCUAGUGAUGUUAUAAACGCAUCUAAUACAACUUUCAACAACGGAUCUCUUGGCUCUCGCAUCGAUGAAGAACGCAGC